Molecule: ribosomal RNA, 423 nt
Filed under: Microbacterium phyllosphaerae
Lineage: Bacteria; Bacillati; Actinomycetota; Actinomycetes; Micrococcales; Microbacteriaceae
Description: bacterial SSU rRNA
Rfam family: Bacterial small subunit ribosomal RNA
Source: RNAcentral
GCCCAGCUUGCUGGGUGGAUCAGUGGCGAACGGGUGAGUAACACGUGAGCAACCUGCCCCUGACUCUGGGAUAAGCGCUGGAAACGGCGUCUAAUACUGGAUACGAGUAGCGACCGCAUGGUCAGUUACUGGAAAGAUUUAUUGGUUGGGGAUGGGCUCGCGGCCUAUCAGCUUGUUGGUGAGGUAAUGGCUCACCAAGGCGUCGACGGGUAGCCGGCCUGAGAGGGUGACCGGCCACACUGGGACUGAGACACGGCCCAGACUCCUACGGGAGGCAGCAGUGGGGAAUAUUGCACAAUGGGCGCAAGCCUGAUGCAGCAACGCCGCGUGAGGGAUGACGGCCUUCGGGUUGUAAACCUCUUUUAGCAGGGAAGAAGCGAAAGUGACGGUACCUGCAGAAAAAGCGCCGGCUAACUACGUGCC